CAGCAGCCGCGGGAAUACGAAGGGGGCUAGCGUUGCUCGGAAUGACUGGGCGUAAAGGGCGCGUAGGCGGAAUGCUUUGUCGGGCGUGAAAUUCCAGGGCUUAACCCUGGGGCUGCGUUCGAGACGGGUAUUCUAGAGUGGAGAAGAGGGUCGUGGAAUUCCCAGUGUAGAGGUGAAAUUCGUAGAUAUUGGGAAGAACACCGGUGGCGAAGGCGGCGACCUGGUCUUUUACUGACGCUGAGGCGCGAAAGCGUGGGGAGCAAACAGGAUUAGAUACCCCCGUAGUCCCUGUCUCUUAUAC
RNAcentral lists this ribosomal RNA (301 nucleotides) under uncultured bacterium. RNAcentral describes it as "partial 16S ribosomal RNA". It matches the Rfam family "Bacterial small subunit ribosomal RNA", at positions 509 to 807 of the family's 1533-position model. The record is from RNAcentral.